GUGGAUUAGAUACCCUAGUAGUCCACGCCCUCAACGAUGUCAACUAGCUGUUGGGUUCUUCGGGACUUAGUAGCGCAGCUAACGCGUGAAGUUGACCGCCUGGGGAGUACGGUCGCAAGAUUAAAACUCAAAGGAAUUGACGGGGACCCGCACAAGCGGUGGAUGAUGUGGAUUAAUUCGAUGCAACGCGAAAAACCUUACCUACCCUUGACAUGUCUGGAAUCCCGAAGAGAUUUGGGAGUGCUCGAAAGAGAACCGGAACACAGGUGCUGCAUGGUUGUCGCCAGCU
Molecule: ribosomal RNA, 289 nt
Filed under: uncultured bacterium
Lineage: Bacteria
Description: partial 16S ribosomal RNA
Rfam family: Bacterial small subunit ribosomal RNA
Source: RNAcentral